GUGGGGAAUCUUGCGCAAUGGGCGAAAGCCUGACGCAGCCAUGCCGCGUGAAUGAUGAAGGUCUUAGGAUUGUAAAAUUCUUUCACCGGGGACGAUAAUGACGGUACCCGGAGAAGAAGCUCCGGCUAACUUCGUGCCAGCAGCCGCGGUAAUACGAAGGGGGCUAGCGUUGCUCGGAAUUACUGGGCGUAAAGGGUGCGUAGGCGGACAGCUUAGUCAGAGGUGAAAGCCCAGGGCUCAACCUUGGAAUUGCCUUUGAUACUGGCUGUCUUGAGUUUGGGAGAGGUGAGUGGAACUCCGAGUGUAGAGGUGAAAUUCGUAGAUAUUCGGAAGAACACCAGUGGCGAAGGCGACUCACUGGCCCAAUACUGACGCUGAGGCGCGAAAGCGUGGGGAGCAAACAGGAUUAGAAACCCGGGUAGUCC
Molecule: ribosomal RNA, 425 nt
Filed under: uncultured bacterium
Lineage: Bacteria
Description: partial 16S ribosomal RNA
Rfam family: Bacterial small subunit ribosomal RNA
Source: RNAcentral